GGUGGACAAUGGUAUUUUUAAAUAUAUAUAUAUAUUUUUUUCAUAAAUAAACAAGUCUUUAAUUUUAAGUUUUAUUACAAUUUUUUUUUUUUUUUUUUUUUGGCAAUGAUUAAUUUUUAUUGUUUAUUGGUUACAAAAGUCUAAUCAUGUAACCCAAAUAAAUAAAUAAAAAGAAAAGAAAAGAAAAAAGAAGAUUUUAUAAAUUCGUUAUAUAUAUAUAUGUAUAUAUAUAUGCAUAUCGGGGCGUGUCCCUCACACCCUUUGAACCUCAGUCUCACCCCCAGCUCUAACGGCUAUAUUUCUCUUUUCUCCUUCUCUUGUUCUCCUUCUUUUUCUUGUCUAGAAUUCUGAGUAGAGGAAAACAAGGCAUUCGAUCAGCGCAGAUUUCAAAAACCAAGGAAUUCGAUCCGGCGAAUAACAAACGUGGUCGUAUCGGAAGCAGGAUUUGUUGAAGAAGGAAAGAUCCAGUCCUCAGAUCCAAACAUCGGCGAGAACUCUCUACUGGGGAAACCUCCGACUCUGGCGGUUCACGUAUGCUUGAUUUUGGGGAAUUAAGCUAUCUUGGAGGAAUACAGGAACAUUGGAAGAUUAGAGUUAUGGAUGGUGUACCUUAAAGUGUAAAGAAUAUGGAAAGUGUGCAGGGGCGGGUGGAGUUUAAAUAUUGUAAAGCCCAUGGAGGCUGUGACCUAUAGACAGAAUAAUUACUUUUAAUAAAAAAUAUAUAUAUAUAAUUUUUUUUGG
Long non-coding RNA from Ziziphus jujuba (common jujube), 741 nucleotides. RefSeq lists it as uncharacterized. The transcript has 2 exons. Lineage: Eukaryota; Viridiplantae; Streptophyta; Magnoliopsida; Rosales; Rhamnaceae. The record is from RefSeq and is a predicted model, not a curated record.